UUGAAGAGUUCAAGUUUGUGCUAUACUUGGAUUCCUACCCCUUCCUCUCCCUCCUCUUCUACCUCCCCUACUUCCACCUCUUGCUCCAGCUUGUGUUUUGCCUCUGCCUCUUCCCCUUUCUUUUGGAGGUCCAAAUGGGUCUGGUCUUUUCUCAGUUAAGGUUCCCCUUCCUUUCAACUUGCGGCCUCUCUGUCCUUUUGCUGCAAUUUCUUCUCUACUGAGUCCCUUACAUGUUGCUCUUGUAUGGUUUAUAGAUCCACACUUCUUGCAUCUCCUUACCUUCUUACCUGUCUUUUGAGGUUCAUCCACUCCUCUUAUUCUUUUUCCUCUAGGUCUUCCUGUUGGCCUAUGAAGUGGUGGAGGUAGGAUUUCAUACGCAGGCUGUAAACAUAAAUGAAAGAUUAGUGUAUGAUGAAACAAAUCAAAUAUAGCAAGGAAUUGGGAGUACUAUCAGCACAAAAUUACCUCUUCCCAUUCAUGGUCGUUUGGAAUUGGGAAUACAGGAUGUUCAUAUGCUCUCAUGUAAGCUCUUACAGUAAGGAGCUCAUGGCAAUAGCUGCCACAUUAAAUGAGAGUAAGUAUUCAAUUUAAACAUAAAAAACUGCAUAAACUGUCGAAAUAUAGUGAGGCAUUUACCUAGGUAUAUGCAUCCUUCUUUGCUCCAUAACACUGACAGCAUGCUUGCAUGGUAUUCCAGUCAAUUGCCACUGGCAGCACUCACAAGUUUUUUUUUGCACAUCCACCAUCCAUCUACUAGAACCACCCCCACUCAAAGAAACACAAAAUCUGUGAUCAGAUGCAUUACAAUAUUCAAACUCAGUCACAGAUUUCUUAAGUUCUUCAAUGGUCUUCUGCACUCUAGGAACCACAUCAUUCAAGUUGAUUGUCCUAGCCUUGUUUAACCUCUUUCUUACAUGAGUCAUGAUUAACAAACAAUAUUGCUCAACAAACCCAGUAAUUGUUUUGUCUCUGUCAAAACAUAGCAUUCAAAUAGAAAUCAGUAAUUGUUUUACCUUACUAGCAUUUACCACAAUAAAGCAUAAAACAUAAAAUAUAUCACUUACCUUAGAUCCAUAAUGAAAUUGUUGAAGCUUUCACUAAAAUUGUUGGUAAUAUGCUCACAGGUUGCAGUAUCAUCAAACUGACUUCUACAAAAGUGCACAAGUUGUCUUUUCAAAAGCCAUUCAUGAGCCUCUUUGUGCACAGUCUUCAAGUUCUCCAUCCACUUAUUGCAAUCACUCUUUCUGUAAGCUCUAGCUGCCCCCCAAGCCAGUGAUUCUAAGUGUUUGCCCCCCUUCAAAUCUUUCUUAAAGUUCUUGUAUAGGUGUCUGAAACACAACCUAUGGUUACUAUGAGGAAACAACUCACCAAGCACACCAUCCAAGCCUUUCUGCUGAUCUGACAUGAAUGUUAGUUUCCCAUCGUACAAAUCAAGAUGUGGUUUCAACUUAUCUAGGAAAUCAUACCAUGACUCAUAAUUCUCUUUCCUACAUAGGUAAAUAGCUAAAGGGUAAAGACCAUUGUUCCCAUCCAGUGAUACAAUGCUUAAACAUACCCCCCCAUAUUUACCCUUCAGAUGGCAGCCAUCAAGCCCAAGAAUGGGUCUACAACCAGCUCUCCACCCUUUCAGACAAGAACCAAAUGAGAUACAUAGCCUUAAACAAACCAUCAUCAGCAUCCCUUGUGCAUGUAGCUAUGCUUCCAGGGUUAUUUACUUCAUCUUCAUCUUGACUUUCAGAUCCUUGCACCCCACUUCCUUCAUCUUCAUAAUGUUGUUCAUUCAUGGUGGAAAAUAAGAAGAAAUAUGUAGAGAGAUGUAGAGAAGAAGAACGAUGCAGAGAGAUGAGGAGAAGAAGCUAAGGGGCUGGAGAUUUGUUUGAAGAAGUAGGUAAAAAAUAUUUAGUUUUCACUAAGUGCUGUAAAUUUGGUAAAGUAGAUUGUUUUAAUUUCAUUACACGUGUCAUAUUAUGUGUGGUUUGAUAUUUUCUUU
This 1990-nucleotide long non-coding RNA is filed under the name Aquilegia coerulea. RNAcentral's name for it is "long non-coding RNA (ACOE_LNC001768)". The record is from RNAcentral. Lineage: Eukaryota; Viridiplantae; Streptophyta; Magnoliopsida; Ranunculales; Ranunculaceae.